UUGGGGUCUCCUUUCUCCAGUUAUUUCUUCCCCAAAGACGAAGAACCUGAAACAUUGCAGUGGGAGAGCUGACUCUACCUGCUUGUUGCUGGUGUUGAGAGUUCCAGGUCUGCAGAUCACCAGAGGGCCCACUAAGCCGGAACUGGUAUCUUGGAUGGGAUUUAUCGCAGAGGAGUACAUCCAGGCUUCUUGCUAAGUCAGGUACAGUGAGUGGAGAUGGAACUUGGAGGCAACUGUGAUGUGUCCCUCAACCAUACAGCAUGCUGGGAUACCUGGAAGCUUUGUGAAUGUGAUUGUUGACCUGACAGUUCAGAAGCCAUUUCCCAGCGUUACUGGGGAUCAUGUCAGCUGUAACAAAAGUGGCUGGAAAGAGGCUGACCACAUUGGACCUGUGGCCUCUGACGGUGAGUGUCUGUCCAUGGAAGAAGACUGUGUGAGUGUCAGUCUCACUGCCCAUCCCAAAGAGGUGCCAUGCCACGUGAUCCCCAACACACAUUGUCAUCUCAGAUACCCAGGUAAUAGACUCUGGUGGCACCUUCAGCAAAGAUGGGCAGCAGUAGCAAGUGAAGGAAAAACAGAGACUGAGGCAGCAGUUGCCAACAAGAUUCCAUCCCAGCUCAAGGCGAAGGUUCUUCAGGAGCAGGCAACUGCUUUUUCGGUAAAGAAAAAGAAAAAAAAGAAUCUGAAGUAAUGGGACAACAAUCAGGCUUUCACUCUCGUACCUUAAUCCUAAGCAGUGUGGUUUGAAGGUCCGGGAUGUUCUGAGAACAUGGGAAGGAAUCAACAUGUAAAAACUUCUGGUGUCACCAUUUAAUUAUACCAGAAUGAAUGGGAAAAUUAACAAGGAUUCUCAGCUCCCAUGCUUCAAGCAUAAGGUUGUCACUGGCUCCAGGAUGAGAAAAAAAUCCUCCAUCCACCCCCCAACCCCACACACCCCCGGUCUAUUAAUGUACCACAAAGUGUACUGAAGGAGUUAUACCUUCCUCAACAGCAUCUGACACUGGCCACUAACGGAGACAGGGCAAUGGACUAUUGACAAUUGGCCUGUCAUAAUGGGGUAAUUCCUAUAGGGUGGAGAGGGGCUUGGCAUGCCUAAAAAAUCCUGACUAUCUCUCAUGCUAACCUAGCCAACUUUCUCAACUGUUUCAUUGGAUAUAGUAUUCUCCUAAACUGCCUGUCCUGUAGUUUUGGGUCAUGUCGCUGUGCAUUGUAAAACUACUGUGCUUCACUGUGGGUGUUUGUACUGCCAUGGUGGGUUAAGUAGGUCCUUAUAAAUCUGUUUCUAAUGUGCU
Dermochelys coriacea (leatherback sea turtle) is the source of this 1292-nucleotide long non-coding RNA. RefSeq lists it as uncharacterized. The record is from RefSeq and is a predicted model, not a curated record. NCBI's taxonomy places the organism in Eukaryota, Metazoa, Chordata, Testudines, Dermochelyidae. The transcript has 5 exons.